Molecule: unclassified non-coding RNA, 318 nt
Filed under: uncultured Eurotiomycetes
Lineage: Eukaryota; Fungi; Ascomycota; Eurotiomycetes
Description: sequence contains ITS1
Rfam family: 5.8S ribosomal RNA (bases 1-105)
Source: RNAcentral
GAAAUGCGAUAAGUAAUGUGAAUUGCAGAAUUCCGUGAAUCAUCGAAUCUUUGAACGCACAUUGCGCCCUCCGGUAUUCCGGAGGGCAUGCCUGUCCGAGCGUCAUUGCAACCCCCUCAAGUCCGGCUUGUGUGUUGGGCCUGCCGUCCUCCCCCCGGUGGACGGGCCCGAAAGGCAGUGGCGGCGUCGUGAUCCGGUGCCCGAGCGUAUGGGAACGUCUUCGAACCCGCUCCGGAGGCCCGGCCGGCGCUGGCCCGUCAUCUUAUAAUUUCUCCUCAGGUUGACCUCGGAUCAGGUAGGGAUACCCGCUGAACUUAA